CUGCGGCGUGGAAAGUGGCGGAAAGCGAGGAAUCGAAGUCGCGGAAGUGCCGUAACGUAGUGUCCGUCGUUUUUCCCGGGUCGUGGUCGUCGUGAACGACCGCAUGUACGACCCGGACUCGUCGUGAGCGUGACGCGACGACGCGACGACGACGUUGCGAGAGAAUCGCUCCUCAGAAUUUCUGUUUGCGCGGAAACGGCGCGCGUUACUGGAGGGUUCUAGGUAAGAAAAAGAUAAAGGCAGACGGAGCAAGAAAGAAGCCAAAAAAGAAAGUGGAAGAGAAAGAAAGAGAGAAAGAGAGACGGAUUCUCAAUUUCUGCGGCUUUUGACGACCGUUGUGAAUUGGCCAGAGUCCAAAAUACUCCAGAAUUGGCCGAAUGGCGCACGCACGAUUCAGCUGUAUGUCCGUGCAUCUCGUGGAAUAAUGCAUCUUUCUCCCGGGGAUUUCUCUCAUCUGGAUGACAGUGCCUGCCAGCGACGGGACGUAGGGUGACGUCGGUGAGGUGAGAAAGUAUGGAGCGUUCAUCGGACGUCGCAGUUAUACCUCGCUCGAAUCAUUACUGCAUUUAGCCUUACAAUAGAUCUCGAUAGUCUUUAAUGCGACAGAAACAGUACAUUGUUGAGGCACAGUAAUCCAAACUCCUGUAAGGAGAGAUGGAUGCGGUGUGCGAUGAGGACAGGCGGAGACGCCUACGGGCUUUGGAGGAGAGUAUAAAGGAUCCUAGAAGCGUCACGAAUAUCGAUUGCUUGUUGGACACAGUUCAAGCCCUGGUAACAGAUUGCGAUCAUGCCAGUGUGAAACGUAUGAAGAAUAUAGAAGCUUAUAUGAAUAGAUAUGACUCUGUAGCCCAAGAGAUUUUUAAAAUGCGAAUGCGCAUGGACGAUUUUACUUUGAUAAAAGUAAUCGGCCGCGGCGCAUUCGGAGAGGUGCAGUUGGUUAGACACAAAUCUACGCAAAAAGUUUAUGCUAUGAAAUUACUUAGUAAAUUUGAAAUGAUUAAAAGGUCGGAUUCCGCAUUUUUUUGGGAAGAAAGAGACAUAAUGGCUCAUGCAAACUCACCAUGGAUAGUCCAACUCCACUUUGCGUUCCAAGAUCAAAAGUAUCUCUACAUGGUGAUGGAUUACAUGCCGGGCGGGGAUCUGGUUAACUUGAUGUCGAAUUAUGAAGUACCAGAAAAAUGGGCAAAAUUUUACUGUGCCGAAGUGGUGCUUGCAUUGGACGCGAUACAUAAUAUGGGUUUUGUUCAUAGAGACGUGAAACCGGACAACAUGUUGCUCGAUAGACAUGGCCAUUUGAAACUUGCCGACUUUGGCACGUGUAUGAGGAUGGAUGUUGAUGGUUUAGUGCGAUCUGACACUGCAGUUGGUACACCCGAUUACAUAUCUCCGGAGGUUCUACAGUCACAAGGCGGAGAAGGAGUAUAUGGUCGCGAAUGCGACUGGUGGUCCGUGGGUGUCUUUUUGUACGAGAUGUUGUUUGGCGAUACACCGUUCUUUGCCGAUUCUCUAGUCGGCACAUAUUCUAAGAUCAUGGACCACAGGAAUUCACUGUACUUCCCUCAAAAUGUUGAGAUAUCUCACUCAGCGAAAAACUUAAUAUGUGGCUUCCUUACCGAUAGAACAAAGCGCCUGGGUCGCAAUGGCGUCGACGAAAUCAAAAGCCAUCCAUUUUUCAAGAAUGAUCAAUGGACCUUUGACAAUUUGAGGGAAUGUGUACCGCCGGUAGUGCCAGAACUUUCCGGGGACGAUGAUACCAGCAAUUUCGAUGAUGUCGACAAGGAGGAUGGACCAGAGGAGAGUUUUCCAGUACCUAAAGCUUUUUCCGGAAAUCAUUUGCCUUUUAUCGGAUUUACUUAUUCGGGUGAUUACCAGCUAAUGGUUUCUUACGGCAAGGAAUCCGUGGAUGGUCUUGAGAAUCAUGUCAACAAUGGUACUUCCGACGAUAUCAAGAUUUCGCAGCUAGAGAAUUUACUGGAACGUGAGAGGCGGCAAGUGGAGACGAUGGAGUCGAGACAGAAGGCACUAAACACGCAAUUGGAAACGAUGGCAUGUCGAGAAGUUGAGCUGCGUGAGGAAGUUAGCAGGGCGGAUAAGGAGUUGACGCUACUCAGGCACAAUUAUAAAGAGGCGCAACGCAGAGUAGAGCAUGAAACAGAAACUCGUCGUAAAGCGGAGUCACUGUUGGUAGAGGUAAAAAAGAAAUUCGAUGAGGAGCAGACGAGACGGGCGCGUGAUGCUAGCAACUCACAGCAGACAUCCGAACGAGUGACGACGUUGGAGAAACAGAUCAAAGAGAUGCAAUGCAAAUUGGAGAGAGAAACGGAAACAGUUACGAGAUUGCGCAAACAAGCGACGGAAAUCACCGUGGCGCGUCAAGCCGCCGAGCAAAUGGCGAACGAGUUGCAAGUUGCCCGAGCUCAAUUGCAAGCGCAGCGUGAUAACUUGCAACAAGAAGUUGCUACUCUUCAGGGCCAGCUUUCCAAGGAACGUAGUUCGAGGUCGCAAGCGUCAUUAUUGACGGCCGAAUUAGAGACUCGUCUUUCCACUUUACAUCUCGAGUUGGAACGCAGCCAUGAGAAAGAGGAAAAGGCGACUCUGGACAACAGGCAACUAACUGAAAGAGUUUCUGCGUUGGAGAAAGAAGCUGCUAGCUUAACAUUGGAACUGAAAGCCGCGCAAGCUAGAUAUAAUCAGGAAGUUGUGGCACAUCAAGAAACGGAGCGUUCGCGCAUUCUUUCCAAGGAAGAAGCCAAUUUGGAAGUUGUGAAAGCUCUACAAGUAAAAUUAAACGAGGAGAAAAGUGGAAGACAACGUGCAGAAUUACUUGCACAAGAAAAAGAACGGCAGACGUCAAUGCUAUCUGUCGAUUAUAGACAGAUACAGCAACGAUUGCAGAAAUUAGAGGGUGAACACAGGCAAGAGAUGGAGAAAGCCAAAGUUCUGCAGGGUCAAGUUGAACAGGAGCAACAGAAAAGAAACGUUCUGCAAACUGAAUUAGGUCAGCAAACAUCCGAAGCCGGCAGACUUCGUGCUCGCGAGCAACAAUUAGUUGGAGAGGUUGCUCAGUUGAGGGAAGCUAAACGGCAAAUAGAAGAGGAGUUACAUCAUUUGAAGACACAAAGAAACGUCGAUCAAUUACAGACAAAGGAACUGCAAGAACAAUUGGAAGCCGAAGCUUAUUUCUCGACUCUGUACAAAACACAGACACAAGAGUUGCGCGAAGAGUUGGAUGAGAAAAUAAGAUUACAACAAGAAUUAGAAGAAGAACGUAGCUCUCUUGUCCAUCAGCUGCAGUUAUCCUUGGCGCGCGGUGACAGCGAAGCUCUAGCCAGAUCCAUAGCCGAGGAGACUGUGGCGGACUUGGAGAAAGAAAGAACCAUGAAAGAGCUAGAGUAUAAAGACGGAGUAACUAAGCAUCAUCAGGAAUUAAGUACAAAGGAACAGAUCAUAAACAGACUUAAAGAGAACGAGAGUGAAUUCAAGAAAUCAGUUGAUCAAACUCUGAAGGAAAAAGAAGACUUGAGCAAGCGAUAUAAGGAAUUGCAAGAGCAACUUGGUAAAGCACAGUCCAAUGUGGAAGAAAUUGAAAAGCUAAGCAGCAAAUUAAAGACCGAGCAACUAUUGAAGCAGCAGGCAGUCAACAAGUUAGCCGAGAUCAUGAACCGAAAGGAUCUUUCAUCAAGUGGAAAGAAUAAGAAUAAAGCGUCUGCCGCAGAUCUGAGGAAGAAGGAAAAAGAUUGCAGGCGUUUGCAGCAAGAACUCACUCAAGAGAGGGAGAAGUAUGGACAACUGGCAGCUAAAUGGCAAAAGGAUUUGCAAGAUUUGCAAGCGCAACUCGUAGAGGAGAAUCAAGCGAAACUAAGAUUACAGAUGGAACUCGAUUCGAAGGAUUCGGAGAUAGAAACGUUGCAAAUGAAAAUCGCGUCACUCAACUCGGAAACUGCAAGUGUCUCAUCUAUAGAGAACGACGACGGUGAAGACUCUGUCUUGUCUGAGCACGGUACGAUGAGAUUGGAGGGUUGGUUAAAUGUGCCAAAUAAGCAAAAUAUUAAGCGGCACGGUUGGAAGAAGCAAUACGUCGUUGUUUCUUCCAAGAAGAUAAUCUUCUACAACAGCGAAAAUGAUAAAAUGAACGCUGAUCCGGUCCUGAUAUUAGACUUGAAUAAAGUUUUCCAUGUUAGAUCUGUUACUCAGGGUGAUGUUAUCCGAGCCAAUGCCAAAGAUAUACCCAGAAUAUUUCAGUUACUUUACGCUGGUGAAGGUGAAGCAAGGCGGCCCGGUGACGAGGGGAAUACACUGCCUGGAGUGGAUUUACCACAGCUCACAGAUAAACCUGGUACUCAGUCGCUGAAAGGCCAUGAGUUCGUGUCAAUAUCUUAUCACAUGCCAACGACCUGCGAAGUCUGUUCAAAGCAACUGUGGCAUAUGUUUCGGCCUUCGCCAGCCCUCGAAUGUCGAAGGUGCCGUAUUAAAGUUCACAAGGAACAUUUGGAUAAGAAAGAAGAUGCCAUAGCCCCGUGCAAACUACACUACGAUCCGAACAGCGCCCGUGAGCUACUGCUACUCGCUGCUAAUCCUGAGGAUCAAAAGUAUUGGGUCUCACGACUGUCCAGGCGCGUCCAGAAAUGCGGCUACAAGGCGAAUUCGCAUAUGGACGGCACGGGACAACGCGUCUCGCCAAGGUAGCGUAGCUGUGCUGCUGCUCGACGUGAGCGGGGACUAAGUAGCUCUCUUAUUUUGUGACGUCGCAUGAUGUGGGUGUAGAGAGGGAAUCCACAAGGUCGACCUUGAAGCCGUACUUAUCGGUGCAACAACGAUCUGCAACAUUGCCAGCGAACGCUAGCAUGGG
Molecule: unclassified non-coding RNA, 4849 nt
Filed under: Acromyrmex echinatior (Panamanian leafcutter ant)
Lineage: Eukaryota; Metazoa; Arthropoda; Insecta; Hymenoptera; Formicidae
Description: rho-associated protein kinase 2, transcript variant X5
Source: RNAcentral